UAGGGAAUCUUCCACAAUGGACGCAAGUCUGAUGGAGCAACGCCGCGUGAGUGAAGAAGGUUUUCGGACCGUAAAGCUCUGUUGUUGGUGAAGAAGGAUAGAGGUAGUAACUGGCCUUUAUUUGACGGUAAUCAACCAGAAAGUCACGGCUAACUACGUGCCAGCAGCCGCGGUAAUACGUAGGUGCAAGCGUGUCGAUUUAUUGGGCGUAAAGCGAGCGCAGGCGGAAGAAUAAGUCUGAUGUGAAAGCCCUCGGCUUAACCGAGGA
RNAcentral lists this ribosomal RNA (268 nucleotides) under uncultured bacterium. RNAcentral describes it as "partial 16S ribosomal RNA". It matches the Rfam family "Bacterial small subunit ribosomal RNA", at positions 355 to 619 of the family's 1533-position model. The record is from RNAcentral.